CUUGGUCAUUUAGAGGAGUAAAAGUCGUAACAAGGUUUCCUUCCCCCUAUUGAAGCCUUCCGCAGGACUUGAUAAAUAACUGCGUAGCCUGCUUUGCAGACCACACCACGAAAGGCUAGGACUUGAUUAACUUCGAGUACCAGCAGCCUAGAGUUCUAGGUCCCAGAUCAUGUAGUGGUGGUCAUUUAUGAUUGAGAUAUGACCGGUCUUAAUAAUUCUAGUUAAGAAUCAACGUUCCGUAGGUGAACCUGCGGAAGGAUCUUAUUGAAAAAGGGAACCCUUCGGGGUUCAACCUUAAACCCUUUGUCUUAUUACCUGUUUCUUUGGCGGGCUCGCCCGUCAGAAGUUUUCUCAAACCCUUAUAAAUGUGUCUUCUGAAUAACAAAAUAAAUCAAAACUUUCAACAACGAUCUCUUGGUUCUGGCAUCGAUGAAGAACGCAGCGAAAUGCGAUAAGUAUGUGAAUUGCAGAAUUCAGUGAAUCAUCGAAUCUUUGAACGCAUAUUGGCCCUUUGGCAUUCCGAAGGGCAUACCUGUUCGAGCGUCAUUACACCCCCAAGUCAAACUUUUUGGUUAACUUGGUGUUGGGCCUUGCCGGAAGGCAUCCUGAAAAUUAGCGAUGGUACGUUAAACCACGGACGCACAAAUGUCGUUCGUAGGGGCACGGCACCAGUCUAAUGAUUAAUUUCUCAAUGUUGACCUCGAUCAGGUAGGAAUACCCGCUGAACUUAAGCAUAUCAAUAAGCGGAGG
RNAcentral lists this ribosomal RNA (750 nucleotides) under uncultured fungus. Its description in RNAcentral is "eukaryotic LSU rRNA". The stretch from base 396 to 546 matches the Rfam family "5.8S ribosomal RNA". Lineage: Eukaryota; Fungi. The record is from RNAcentral.